GAAUGCUGACAUAAGUAACGAUAAAGCGGGUGAAAAGCCCGCUCGCCGGAAGACCAAGGGUUCCUGUCCAACGUUAAUCGGGGCAGGGUGAGUCGACCCCUAAGGCGAGGCCGAAAGGCGUAGUCGAUGGGAAACGGGUUAAUAUUCCCGUACUUGGUGUUACUGCGAAGGGGGGACGGAGAAGGCUAUGUUGGCCGGGCGACGGUUGUCCCGGUUUAAGCGUGUAGGUGUGUGUUCCAGGUAAAUCCGGUUCACUUUAACACUGAGGCGUGACGACGAGGCACUACGGUGCUGAAGCAACAAAUGCCCUGCUUCCAGGAAAAGCCUCUAAGCAUCAGGUAACAUCAAAUCGUACCCCAAACCGACACAGGUGGUCAGGUAGAGAAUACCAAGGCGCUUGAGAGAACUCGGGUGAAGGAACUAGGCAAAAUGGUGCCGUAACUUCGGGAGAAGGCACGCUGACACGUAGGUGAAGUGAUUUACUCAUGGAGCUGAAGUCAGUCGAAGAUACCAGCUGGCUGCAACUGUUUAUUAAAAACACAGCACUGUGCAAACACGAAAGUGGACGUAUACGGUGUGACGCCUGCCCGGUGCCGGAAGGUUAAUUGAUGGGGUCAGCGCAAGCGAAGCUCCUGAUCGAAGCCCCGGUAAACGGCGGCCGUAACUAUAACGGUCCUAAGGUAGCGAAAUUCCUUGUCGGGUAAGUUCCGACCUGCACGAAUGGCGUAAUGAUGGCCAGGCUGUCUCCACCCGAGACUCAGUGAAAUUGAACUCGCUGUGAAGAUGCAGUGUACCCGCGGCAAGACGGAAAGACCCCGUGAACCUUUACUAUAGCUUGACACUGAACAUUGAGCCUUGAUGUGUAGGAUAGGUGGGAGGCUUUGAAGUGUGGACGCCAGUCUGCAUGGAGCCGACCUUGAAAUACCACCCUUUAAUGUUUGAUGUUCUAACGUGGACCCGUUACCCGGGUUGCGGACAGUGUCUGGUGGGUAGUUUGACUGGGGCGGUCUCCUCCUAAAGAGUAACGGAGGAGCACGAAGGUUGGCUAAUCCUGGUCGGACAUCAGGAGGUUAGUGCAAUGGCAUAAGCCAGCUUGACUGCGAGCGUGACGGCGCGAGCAGGUGCGAAAGCAGGUCAUAGUGAUCC
Molecule: ribosomal RNA, 1146 nt
Filed under: Salmonella enterica
Lineage: Bacteria; Pseudomonadati; Pseudomonadota; Gammaproteobacteria; Enterobacterales; Enterobacteriaceae
Also listed under: 1 other name
Description: partial 23S ribosomal RNA
Rfam family: Bacterial large subunit ribosomal RNA
Source: RNAcentral